GUGGAAGCAGCAGCAGGAGAGGAUACGAAAUCUCUCACCUGACCAUCGCCUGCCGGAUGACUCAGAUGUUCUCUUUUUGAUUUGCUCGGGAUGUAUGACUGCUCAGAGAGAAAUGCCUCAUUCUGGGUGCCGCUAUGAAUUAGCUGUAAUGGUGAUGAAAUGCUGAUGAUGGCCCCAGAAAAGCUUUUGCUGAGAGAGCUGCCAAUUUAAGUUCAGGACUGUUGGCAAAGUGAUGUGACACAGUUUCAGAAGCCACAUCAGAUUCACUGUCUGACUAGUUUCAUGACAAAUCAGGCAGAAGAAGCUGAAUCAGCAGAAACCUCUGAAAAGCACUGCAUGCUCAGCACCAAUAAGCAGAGAGACACAUUUUUGUGAGAUGAUGGUGGAGAACAAAACCUGACCUAACA
Molecule: long non-coding RNA, 407 nt
Organism: Oreochromis aureus
Lineage: Eukaryota; Metazoa; Chordata; Actinopteri; Cichliformes; Cichlidae
Exons: 3
Source: RefSeq, a predicted model, not a curated record